Long non-coding RNA from Episyrphus balteatus (marmalade hoverfly), 987 nucleotides. RefSeq lists it as uncharacterized. The transcript is spliced from 3 exons. The record is from RefSeq and is a predicted model, not a curated record. NCBI's taxonomy places the organism in Eukaryota, Metazoa, Arthropoda, Insecta, Diptera, Syrphidae.
GAGGGUUAACAGGCCACCUCCACAAGCCCAGUACGCAGAUCGCGCUAAAAUUUAUCUUUCAUACAAAUUUCCUCCAAAGAUAAAUUUUAGCGAGGAUUUGUAGCUAGGUAGUACGCAGUUCACGCGCUAAAUUCGAAUUCUCAUCUACUACUUUUGCAAAAAGUCUCUACCAUAAACAAAAAAUACCAAGACUGGAAACUCGGCGGUCAACUGACGUUUGCCUACAAGCUGCGAGGUGUGGUGAAUGUCGUGAACCUAUCGUUGUGUUCGUGUCCGAUGUGUGGUGAAUGUCGUGAAUCUAUAAAUGUGUGCGUGUUAACGUCAUUUACCAACGUGGUGGCUUUCACAUAUAUUCACAGACAGCACUGUACACAAAAAGGGUUUUGGGGGGAAAGACGUACGAAAGUUUCCAGUCUUGGUAUUUUUUGUUUAUGGUCUCCACUCAAUUUAGCUCAGCGCAUUUUUUCACAGAUAAAUUUUGACAUUUGUGGUCAUUGUUGUUGCUGCAAGCAAAAAAAAACUUGAAAUAUAAUAAAAGAAGAGGAACAAAACAAAAUGAGAGCGUAAAAAAGGUAUUCUGCAGAUAUCAUUGGAAGUACCCUUCAAGCAAGAAAACUGAGUUCAACAAAGACAAUCCGACCUCAGAACGCGAAAAUCGGGGUUGCACUCACGCACUUGCAACUUUUUGUGUAUGAACACAAAGUCGAACGAGAAUCGUGGUGAAAAGUGAGAAAUGGAAAAACAAGUAAAGACAGACAUAGCCAAUAAGAGCAAAAGCGUCAUUUUGUUAUGUUUUGUUGAAGUGUAUAAUCGCGUCGUGUCUCGUGUCGUUGUUAGUAUAAUAUUAGUAUAAUUAUAAACAAUUAUAUCAAAUUAUAAACACUAUGGAAACAAAAAAAGAUGUAAUCUCUAAUGAUGAAGAAAAAGGCAGAAGGUGAAACAUGAGAUUGUGCAUCUAAAGAAACACCAACAACAGCAGCAGCAACA